RNAcentral lists this long non-coding RNA (199 nucleotides) under Physcomitrium patens. RNAcentral describes it as "long non-coding RNA (PPAT_LNC001107)". The record is from RNAcentral. Lineage: Eukaryota; Viridiplantae; Streptophyta; Bryopsida; Funariales; Funariaceae.
AGGUAUUGAGAGAUUUUAUCCCGGAAAAGACUAUGCCUUUUCUGGAUGAUGUUCCUAUAAAAGGGUACAAAGAAGGAGACAAGGAUGAAACUUUAGAUACGAGGGGGUGUCACAGAUAUGUUGUUGAUCAUAUACAAGAUUGUGAAAAGAUUUUAACUCGGCUUGGAGAAGUUCAUCUUACAUUAUCGGGUAUGAAGUC